UUCUUAUAAUACUUAAAAACGUGUUUAGAAUACACUAACAAAACUUAUAUAUUUUAGGUAUAAGUUAGUAGAAGAUACAGAGGUGACUUUAACAAAUUUACAGCAAGGAUUGGACAAGAUUUGAGGCCGAAUUCAAAAAGUUCUGUAGCUAGUCCUGGUACUAGGAUAUAACAAGUUGUUGUUACUUGGUUUGCGGAAGAAACUUAACUUAAUACUGAAUGAGUCAAAGACAAGCAAAACCAGAGAUGGUGGCUCAAUGUUUUGAUAUAUUCGAUAUGUGAAUGAUCGCAGGGAAGACAGG
Molecule: long non-coding RNA, 301 nt
Filed under: Sitophilus oryzae (rice weevil)
Lineage: Eukaryota; Metazoa; Arthropoda; Insecta; Coleoptera; Curculionidae
Description: uncharacterized LOC115890503, transcript variant X2
Source: RNAcentral